UACAGAGGGGGCAGGCGUUAUUCGGAAUUACUGGGCGUAAAGGGCUCGUAGGCGGCCAACUAAGUCAGACGUGAAAUCCCUAGGCUCAACCUAGGAACUGCGUCUGAUACUGGAUGGCUUGAAUCCGGGAGAGGGAUGCAGAAUUCCAGGUGUAGCGGUGAAAUGCGUAGAUAUCUGGAGGAAUACCGGUGGCGAAGGCGGCAUCCUGGACCGGCAUUGACGCUGAGGAGCGAAAGCCAGGGGAGCAAACGGG
This 253-nucleotide ribosomal RNA is filed under the name uncultured bacterium. RNAcentral describes it as "partial 16S ribosomal RNA". It matches the Rfam family "Bacterial small subunit ribosomal RNA", at positions 524 to 776 of the family's 1533-position model. The record is from RNAcentral.